AUCGAGCUGACGAGUUCCAAAUAGGACGAAACGAGCGUAAAACUGGAU
This is a non-coding RNA of Schistosoma haematobium, 48 nucleotides long. The record is from Rfam. NCBI's taxonomy places the organism in Eukaryota, Metazoa, Platyhelminthes, Trematoda, Strigeidida, Schistosomatidae.